CAGUAGCCGCGGGAAUACGUAGGGCGCAAGCGUUAUCCGGAAUUAUUGGGCGUAAAGAGCUCGUAGGCGGUUUGUCGCGUCUGCCGUGAAAGUCCGGGGCUCAACCCCGGAUCUGCGGUGGGUACGGGCAGACUAGAGUGAUGUAGGGGAGACUGGAAUUCCUGGUGUAGCGGUGAAAUGCGCAGAUAUCAGGAGGAACACCGAUGGCGAAGGCAGGUCUCUGGGCAUUAACUGACGCUGAGGAGCGAAAGCAUGGGGAGCAAAUGGGAUUAGAUACCCGAGUAGUCCCUGUCUCUUAUAC
This 301-nucleotide ribosomal RNA is filed under the name uncultured bacterium. Its description in RNAcentral is "partial 16S ribosomal RNA". It matches the Rfam family "Bacterial small subunit ribosomal RNA", at positions 509 to 807 of the family's 1533-position model. The record is from RNAcentral.